RNAcentral lists this ribosomal RNA (443 nucleotides) under uncultured bacterium. RNAcentral describes it as "partial 16S ribosomal RNA". It matches the Rfam family "Bacterial small subunit ribosomal RNA", at positions 338 to 795 of the family's 1533-position model. The record is from RNAcentral.
CCUACGGGAGGCAGCAGUGGGGAAUAUUGGGCAUUGGAGGCAACUCUGACCCAGCAACGCCGCGUGAAUGAUGAAGGUCUUCGGAUUGUAAAGUUCUGUGAUGGGGGAUGAACACAAUGACGGUACCCCAAUAGCAAGCCACGGCUAACUACGUGCCAUCAGCCGCGGUAAUACGUAGGUGGCAAGCGUUAUCCGGAAUGACUGGGCGUAAAGGGUGCGUAGGUGGUUUAGUAAGUUGGCGGUGUAAUUCCGGGGCUCAACCUCGGCGCUACCGCCAAAACUAUUAGACUAGAGUGCAGGAGGGGUAAGUGGAAUGCCUAGUGUAGCGGUGAAAUGCGUAGAUAUUAGGAGGAACACCAGUGGCGAAGGCGGUCUGCUGGACAGCAACUGACGCUGAGGCGCGAAAGCGUGGGGAGCAAACAGGAUUAGAUACCCUUGUAGUC